Molecule: ribosomal RNA, 474 nt
Filed under: uncultured organism
Description: partial 16S ribosomal RNA
Rfam family: Bacterial small subunit ribosomal RNA
Source: RNAcentral
UACACUCCUGCGGGAGGCAGCAGUGGGGAAUUUUGGACAAUGGGCGAAAGCCUGAUCCAGCCAUGCCGCGUGCAGGAUGAAGGCCUUCGGGUUGUAAACUGCUUUUGUACGGAACGAAACGGCCUUUUCUAAUAAAGAGGGCUAAUGACGGUACCGUAAGAAUAAGCACCGGCUAACUACGUGCCAGCAGCCGCGGUAAUACGUAGGGUGCAAGCGUUAAUCGGAAUUACUGGGCGUAAAGCGUGCGCAGGCGGUUAUGUAAGACAGUUGUGAAAUCCCCGGGCUCAACCUGGGAACUGCAUCUGUGACUGCAUAGCUAGAGUACGGUAGAGGGGGAUGGAAUUCCGCGUGUAGCAGUGAAAUGCGUAGAUAUGCGGAGGAACACCGAUGGCGAAGGCAAUCCCCUGGACCUGUACUGACGCUCAUGCACGAAAGCGUGGGGAGCAAACAGGAUUAGAAACCCGGGUAGUCCCA